GGGGGCGAUAGGUAUCGACAGGGAAGACAGAGGUAAGGAAGGCGGGUCGAGGUUCCUGGUCCUCGUUAAACACAGGGAAAAACAAUAACUGCCAACAAUAACGAAUUGGCUCUAGCAGCUUAAUAUAAGCUGCUCAUCUUUAGAAAGUUAUGCCUGUAAACUUUCUGAUAGGUGUAAUACUGAACAGGCUAUUCCUGUCGAAUGUUCCGAUUGAUAGGAAGAAAAUAAGGAACUAACUUAUUUGAAUCCGGUCUAUGGGAGUUAAAUAAAGCGAAAACAAAGCAUAGACUACACUCGUAGUAUUUCUUGCUAACGAUUCUCUGGACGCGAGUUCGAUUCUCGCCGCCUCCACCA
RNAcentral lists this transfer-messenger RNA (354 nucleotides) under Atribacterota. Its description in RNAcentral is "JAAYOB01 sp012520575 Standard tmRNA". It matches the Rfam family "transfer-messenger RNA". From Rfam's summary of the family: Bacterial tmRNA, also known as 10Sa RNA or SsrA, is named for its dual tRNA and mRNA-like properties. Its role is to liberate the mRNA from a stalled ribosome. The record is from RNAcentral. Lineage: Bacteria; Pseudomonadati. RNAcentral also lists the same sequence under 1 other name.